GUUCUUCCCGAGUCCAGGAUGACGAUCCGACACCAGGGCCAGCAGUACAGGCCGAGGAUGGCAUUCCUGCCCAAGGCUGCCUCUGGAUCCCUGGGCAGAUGGCGCAGUUUGAAGUCUGGGGCAGAGGCGCGGUUCACCUGUUCACCUGCCCCGGGUCUGAAUCUCAUAAGCAUGGCGCGAACGGACGUUCUCCUCCAGGCAGGCCUCUCUCCCUGUGUGUUUCCCGUUUUGGAGGUCAGAGCAUCAUGGCAAGGAGGCAGAAAACCUUGGACUCACCUUCUGCCCUCACUGAAGCGCGUCCAGUCUUCAAGUCAAGAGAGUCCACUUUUCCAGUGAUUCCAGCGACAGUCCUGUCCUACCCGUCUGUGUAGGAAGCGUCUCUCCCCUCUGUCCUGGUAGUGAGCCUCGCUCUCACCUGUUCAUGCAGUGAGUGUCUCAGUCCCCAUCCUCACCACUUCCACCUGGACUGUUGCCACAACCAGCUCACCAGUCUUCAUCUCUCUCAUUGCUUCAUACCUUCCUUUCUUGCUGCCAUCUUUAAUCUCGCAAAACAAGGCAAACGGUGAUGCUCUUCCCCUUACCAGCUGCCUAGAGAAUGAGCUUGCAGGCCUACUGUGUGCUAGAUCACUUUGCUCUCCCGUGCAUUUUGGACCCCUUUGUGCAUGUCCGUUCCCCAGCAUGUCCGUUCCUUUUCUGUGUGGCAGAGGCCACACACACUCACCAAACGUUCCACCUGCUCUCAAGAACCAACGGACCAUGAGCAGAAGUGACGUGUGUGUGUGUGUGUGUGUGUGUGGCUUCCGGGCUGAAGCCUUGAAGGACAGGUGCAAAUUCUCCAUGGUUUUCUCUCUUCCCCUGCGGAGUGACCGUGAGCAUGUGUGAUGGAAUGGGGAGCCACACACGGGGCAGCCUGGCUUGCUGAGUCAUCAUAUCCACG
Molecule: long non-coding RNA, 937 nt
Organism: Lepus europaeus (European hare)
Lineage: Eukaryota; Metazoa; Chordata; Mammalia; Lagomorpha; Leporidae
Exons: 3
Source: RefSeq, a predicted model, not a curated record